AGCAAGUGGAGCUUGGUUACCAGGAGGAGGAGGAGGACCCAUUCAGCUGGACAGUAGCAGAGCACUGAGCUGCCAAGGGGCAGGGAUGCUGGUGAAUGGACAGGAAAGUCCCAGGGGCUGCAGGAUGUAAUCGAGGAUUGUAUGAAGAGGUGUGGAAGAUGGGUCAAACUGACUGUUUCCACACCAAGCUGCAAAAUGCUUCCACUUGUACAGGUCCUGUCAUGGUGGAAGAAUCAGAACCAGAACUAGUGCAUGGUGGAAGAACCAGAAUACUUUGCAGCUGUGCUGAGACGAUACACAAACCAGUGUAACUUAAGUUAAACCACAGCCAAUUGUAUCCAAAUACAUUUUCUACAUUUUGCGCCAAGUUCUACAGGAAAAAAGGAACAAGCCAGUCUGUCAUGCAAGUGCCAGCCAUGAAGUGUAUUGUGGGAAAUAUAGCUGCAUGCCAUGUUUAUACUCUUGCGCCAAGUUCAUCCAUUAUUUGAGUUUUACAAAGUGCACACAGAUACUUCUCUCAUUACUUGCUGUUUAAAAAACUCAGCAGCACACUGAAGUAUUAAAGUGAAAUUACAAUAAUACAGACCGGCAAAACAGUUUUAUUUGCUCUUGGAAAUAAAUUAAAACUCAUCAGGAAGUAAUACGUGGAUGAUUCCCCAUCCCCAGCUCAGCUCCAUGCAAUCAUCUAUAAGUUAACUGGAAAACCAGCAAGAUUACUUAUGUUGUUAAAAGUUAAAACAAAGGGUCCAACAUUGCGGGAAAACUCCUAGAAGAUAUACUCAUCGAGGUGCUCAAUGCUUCCAACAGCUAUUGCAAACAAAAUAUAGGGGUGCUAGAAUAAAUAAUGUAUUGUGAGAGUGUGGAGAGCCACACAACCAAACAAUAAACCCUGAAACCACUUCAAGCCAGGGGUAUAGCAGAACCUACAGCACUACUAGUUUCAAACACCUAUGAUGAGAGAUGAGUACUUAACAUCUUCCACAAUAAGAGCCCUACUUAACUUAGUUUGGUAUACUUAUU
This is a non-coding RNA of Pelodiscus sinensis (Chinese soft-shelled turtle), 1020 nucleotides long. Lineage: Eukaryota; Metazoa; Chordata; Testudines; Trionychidae. The record is from RefSeq and is a predicted model, not a curated record.